RNAcentral lists this transfer RNA (85 nucleotides) under Gottschalkia acidurici 9a. RNAcentral describes it as "tRNA-Leu". It matches the Rfam family "tRNA". Rfam says of the family: Transfer RNA (tRNA) molecules are approximately 80 nucleotides in length. Their secondary structure includes four short double-helical elements and three loops (D, anti-codon, and T loops). The record is from RNAcentral. Lineage: Bacteria; Bacillati; Bacillota; Tissierellia; Tissierellales; Gottschalkiaceae.
GCGGAAAUGGCGGAAUUGGCAGACGCGCUAGACUUAGGAUCUAGUGCCGCAAGGCGUGGGGGUUCAAGUCCUCUUUUCCGCACCA